RNAcentral lists this long non-coding RNA (1956 nucleotides) under Heterocephalus glaber (naked mole-rat). RNAcentral's name for it is "lncRNA (ENSHGLG00000038618.1)". Lineage: Eukaryota; Metazoa; Chordata; Mammalia; Rodentia; Bathyergidae. The record is from RNAcentral.
GUGAGGGGUAAAUGAACUGGAUGGGAGCGGAGGAGCUGCCAAGCACAAGGGUCCUGCUUUUACAAUGGAAGGUGCUCCAGAAGCCACGUGAUCUAGCUAGACGCAAAGGGGUCCUUGCAUUACAAAUGGAAACACUCAGACAUCCUGAGCAAUAUUUUGAAAGAGGGAUCAUGGGGAUGAGGCAGAAUUUUUGAUGAGAAAAGGGGUGGGAGGAGGAAGAACUUCAGGGUUGCUGCAAAUGUGCAGUGUCUGCACUCAACGGCAAAUGAAACUGACCGUAGACUAUGAAGACCAAGCAGUGGGUGCUCCUGUGAAUAUCUGGAAAUCUUCUCACGGUGGGAUCGCUGAGUUCUUCCACAAUUUUGCUUGGUGAGCACAUGCUCACUGAUUAGUCUUUAUGUUCUACUUCAACAGAACUUAAAGAUUCACCUGUGUCUUCCAGGGGAGGUGGCUUGUCACCUGGUGAUUCCCUUUUCAGCACGUUGACACACAAAGCAAAAGAUAGCUUUUAAAGACGCCAUCACCCCCAAGUUAAUGAAGAUUAUUAUGUCUGAUUGUAUGGACAAGAAUUAUCACCAUUAUCAUGUCUGAACAUGUGGACAAUUGUUUUCGUCUUGGUGCAAGAUCUGCUUGAAGAGCGCGUUCUCCUUGGGCGGGAGGCUCACGGCCCGCAUCAUUCCGGCUCCUCCGCUGGUCCCGCCACCACCUGGUUCGGACAGUCUGUUUGUCCGACCGCCGCCACUGCCGUCCCGGGCUCCUUCAGCCUUGAAUACCCCGAUCUACCGCCACCACCACGCCUCAUGUGUCACCAUGUCGCCUUUCCCGGACACCCCCUUCUCCUUCUUGUCUUUUUUCCUUUCUCAACGCUGCCGCCCCCCACGAGUCUCUGUCGGCGGUUCACGUGGCAACUGAACAGUCAUAGCUUCUAUUUCUUAUCCUGCUGUUAUCUGUUGGUGGGUUUGGGCAAGGUGCUGAACAUCUAACCUCUAUUCUUUAUCACUAUUUGGGAACAGUUGGGGAACUCCACUGCAACGGAUAAUCCCUGGGAACUCUGUGGAUCUGUAAAUACAGGUUAGAGGCAAGAGAAACCAGUAGGAGGUGCUGAGCAGAACCAGGCUGAGGGUGCUGGCUCUGAGCUCUGCUCUGAAAGACCUGUCACUUGGGCAGGUCGCUGAGAGCUCUGUACACUCAUAUUUUCCUGUCUGUCCUGGCUUCAAAGUCUCAGUAAGCUACUUGCUUCCAAGACACGUAAGACUCCCUAAAAAGAGGACCCACAAAAGUACCUUCGUCAACUGGCACUUUUCAAACUUUGUAUGUUCUCACUGCCUUCAGUGUGCAACUGAGUUGACCGACGUCAGUUGUGUUACUGCACAUUCAACUCUUAGGCAGGAGAAGACUGAAGAAGGUCCGCCAGGUAAAAACUAAAGGAAAGCAGAAGUUUUAUAAACAUUGCUUUCUGGAUACCUGGAUGUGUGACAUAGACUGAAAUAUCAUGGGAGGAAAAAGCAAUGAGUGGCCCAAAGCUGUAUCUACAGAGAGGAACUUAGAAUUUACUCUGAUCAUUUUAUUUUAGAUGGAUAAACUAUAUUUUCAAAGUUCAAAAUGGAAUUUUUAAGAAAAUUGACGAAGUAGCCCAAUGCAAAUUCCAUUUUUUCUGGAUGUCUCUUCAGUGCUAAAUUGUGCCCUAAAGUCUUGGUUUACCCAUCUUGUAAAAAAAAAAAAAUCUGAGUCCUCUUUCCAGUGAUUUCUCUUAGGAAUAAGAGGGGAGAAGGAUCUAUUAUGAGUAAUUGGAGAACUGAAAGCAAAAUGAUUUUAAAAUAUGAAAGGAGCUACUGAUAACAUUUUGGAUCAUUCUUAUCAACUAUUCAUAGGACAUAAAUUAUAAAUAUAUAUCAUGGAAAGUAGUGUAUAUCAGAACAUAAAUGCACAGCAUAUAUUGUCAAUAUGCUUUUUUUU